CAAUGAAGAGUUUGAUCCUGGCUCAGGACGAACGCUGGCGGCGUGCCUAACACAUGCAAGUCAAGGGGAAAGUACUGUUUCGGCGGUACGAGUACACUGGCGGACGGGUGAGUAGCGCGUAGGCAACCUGCCCAUAGGACCGGGAUAACCUAUCGAAAGGUGGGCUAAUACCGGAUGAUGCAGCGGACCUGCCUGGGUAUGUUGUUAAAGGCAGCAUGGGUUUACCUGUGUUGCGCCUAUGGAUGGGCCUGCGUCCCAUUAGCUAGUUGGUAGGGUAA
This 278-nucleotide ribosomal RNA is filed under the name Calditrichota bacterium. RNAcentral's name for it is "Calditrichaeota bacterium (marine metagenome) partial 16S ribosomal RNA". It matches the Rfam family "Bacterial small subunit ribosomal RNA", at positions 1 to 260 of the family's 1533-position model. Lineage: Bacteria; Pseudomonadati; Calditrichota. The record is from RNAcentral.